Small nuclear RNA from Artibeus jamaicensis (Jamaican fruit-eating bat), 102 nucleotides. NCBI's taxonomy places the organism in Eukaryota, Metazoa, Chordata, Mammalia, Chiroptera, Phyllostomidae. The record is from RefSeq and is a predicted model, not a curated record.
AAUUUGACAAAGAAUGAGAUAUUUACCUGGAAAAUACAGAGAAGAUUAGUACAGUCCCUGUGCCAGGAGGACAGGCAAAUUUGUGAAGUAUUUGGUAUUUUA